This 501-nucleotide ribosomal RNA is filed under the name uncultured Glomus. RNAcentral's name for it is "SSU rRNA". It matches the Rfam family "Eukaryotic small subunit ribosomal RNA", at positions 589 to 1092 of the family's 1831-position model. Lineage: Eukaryota; Fungi; Glomeromycota; Glomeromycetes; Glomerales; Glomeraceae. The record is from RNAcentral.
CUCCAAUAGCGUAUAUUAAAGUUGUUGCNGUUAAAAGCUCGUAGUUGAAUUUCGGGGUCAGUAGGUUGGUCGUGCCACCGGUACGUACUGGUCUCACUGAUUCCUCCUUCCUGAUGAGCUGUAAUGCCAUUAAUUUGGUGUUGCGGGAGACUGGACUGUUACUUUGAAAAAUUAGAGUGUUUAAAGCAGGCUAACGCUUGAAUACAUUAGCAUGGAAUAAUGAAAUAGGACGUUCGAUCUUAUUUUGUUAGGUUUCUAAGAUUGACGUAAUGAUUAAUAGGGAUAGUUGGGGGCAUUAGUAUUCAAUUGUCAGAGGUGAAAUUCUUGGAUUUAUUGAAGACUAACUACUGCGAAAGCAUUUGCCAAGGAUGUUUUCAUUAAUCAAGAACGAAAGUUAGGGGGAUCGAAGACGAUCAGAUACCGUCGUAGUCUUAACCAUAAACUAUGCCGACUAGGGAUCGGAUGAUGUUAAUUUUUUAAUGACUCAUUCGGCGCCUUACG